CGACCUACGGGGCCCAGCAGUGGGGGAUAUUGCACAAUGGAGGAAACUCUGAUGCAGCGACGCCGCGCGCGGGCCGCCGGUCUUCGGCUUGUCCCCCUCUGUCUUUGGGGCCGCCAAUGCCGGUACCCAAAGAGGAAGCUCCGGCUAACUACGUGCCAGCAGCCGCGGUAAUACGUAGGGAGCGAGCGUUGUCCGGAAUUACUGGGUGUAAAGGGAGCGUAGGCGGGCGAGAAAGUUGAAUGUUAAAUCUACCGGCUUAACUGGUAGCUGCGUUCAAAACUUCUUGUCUUGAGUGAAGUAUAGGG
This 305-nucleotide ribosomal RNA is filed under the name uncultured bacterium. Its description in RNAcentral is "bacterial SSU rRNA". It matches the Rfam family "Bacterial small subunit ribosomal RNA", at positions 335 to 658 of the family's 1533-position model. The record is from RNAcentral.